Molecule: long non-coding RNA, 328 nt
Organism: Hyaena hyaena (striped hyena)
Lineage: Eukaryota; Metazoa; Chordata; Mammalia; Carnivora; Hyaenidae
Exons: 3
Source: RefSeq, a predicted model, not a curated record
GGUUCAUUCAACACUGCACCACAGAGCCUAGCACAGUGCCUGGAAUAUGUGACUGGAGAUUUGUCAGGAACUCGGCUGGACUGAAAAAAGAGAGGGGGACUGCCUGUUGCCGGAGGGGCCGAUGACAGCAAGGAGCCAAAAGAGUAAGGAGGUCUCCCCAGAGGCGCCGGAAGAGGGCCUCUGGCCAAAGCCUCAGAUAAAGAGACCUUGGGAUGAAGGCAGCAGGGCUAGGAAUGAAAGUGGUGAAGAGCAUGACUGCUGGGUCCUUGCCUACGCCCCCCUCCAGAGACCGCAGUGCACGGGCCGGACACCAAGGCUGGCGUGCUGA